GCUGGCGUGACCCAAUCGGUAGAGGUGACUGGCUCAAACCCAGUUUGGUGAAGGUUCGAAUCCUUCCGCCAGCACCA
Molecule: transfer RNA, 77 nt
Filed under: Acidobacteriota bacterium
Lineage: Bacteria; Pseudomonadati; Acidobacteriota
Also listed under: 1 other name
Description: tRNA-Leu
Rfam family: tRNA
About the family: Transfer RNA (tRNA) molecules are approximately 80 nucleotides in length. Their secondary structure includes four short double-helical elements and three loops (D, anti-codon, and T loops). Further hydrogen bonds mediate the characteristic L-shaped molecular structure. tRNAs have two regions of fundamental functional importance: the anti-codon, which is responsible for specific mRNA codon recognition, and the 3' end, to which the tRNAs corresponding amino acid is attached (by aminoacyl-tRNA synthetases). tRNAs cope with the degeneracy of the genetic code in two manners: having more than one tRNA (with a specific anti-codon) for a particular amino acid; and 'wobble' base-pairing, i.e. permitting non-standard base-pairing at the 3rd anti-codon position.
Source: RNAcentral